Molecule: long non-coding RNA, 786 nt
Organism: Halichondria panicea
Lineage: Eukaryota; Metazoa; Porifera; Demospongiae; Suberitida; Halichondriidae
Exons: 5
Source: RefSeq, a predicted model, not a curated record
AGAUGUACCGUAUAGCGCGAAAUUUUCGAGGGGCUUAAUUUUCGUGGAUUUCGUGGGUUAGCAAUCCUACACGAAAAUUAAGUCCACGAAAAUCGUUCUUUACCUGCUAUAACGUGCAAGAUCUAAAGGCGUGGCUUCCGGUAAGCAGUCAUUCCGCGAACAUUGUGCAACGAAAUGGCUUUUAGAGGCCAAUCCACGAAAUAUAAGUGCCUCGAAAAUUUCGCGCUAUACGGUAUUUGUUUAUAUAUCUACCUAUAUAGCUACUGAGUACUGUGCUAUUUUACCUCAUACCAACACCCACAUAACCAGGAGACUCCUGCUGCUGUAGGAGGAGGUUCUGGCUCCACCAUUGAGGAGGUAUUCGCUCGUUUUCUCAUAAAUCAGCCGCACUAGGAAUGUCCGUCUGAGCACCACUUUAGUCUAGAGGUUAUUGCACAAUAAAGAAGCUACUGAUAGAGAGGCUGUGAGCAAAGGGAAGGGCAAGGAAAACAAUGGGAUGGUAUCGAAUUGGGACAAACUAAAGACUGGAGACCAUGGACCAGCUCAUGGAAUGUGAAUGGAAUCAGAACGUGGAUAAAGAAUGGUGGUCUGGAGUACAUUGCACAAGAAUACCCAGACAUAUUCUGUGUACAAGAAACCAAGUGUAUUGAGAAAGAGCUUCCUAUGAACCAGCUCGGUAUUCCUGGCUACCACGUCUACUGGCACUCCGCAGAGAAGAGGCUACAGCGGUGUGGGGUGAGGCAUAUUCACCAACUGUUGUGUGGUUAGUUACAAGUAUUGUGCAGG